RNAcentral lists this unclassified non-coding RNA (258 nucleotides) under Octopus sinensis (East Asian common octopus). RNAcentral's name for it is "uncharacterized LOC115226693, transcript variant X2". Lineage: Eukaryota; Metazoa; Mollusca; Cephalopoda; Octopoda; Octopodidae. The record is from RNAcentral.
UAGGCUCGUGUUGAAGUUAUGACGUUGCUAUUGACAACUGCAACGGCAAUGAUUGUUGCUAUUGACGACCAUAACGACUCGAGUUGUUGUUUAGCCCAGGUCAGCCCCGAUACAACUGUGAUCAAAGCUGUUCCAACCUCUUGAGAGUCGGGACAAUCCGUUUGUUCCAGGAGGUGAACUGAGCAUCGACACAGAUGACAUUUUGAAGCGGGCGACCAUCGUAAGGGACCGCUUCAUCCUCAACGAGGAGGAGAAGAA